CCUACGGGUGGCAGCAGUAGGGAAUCUUCCACAAUGGGCGAAAGCCUGAUGGAGCAACGCCGCGUGGGUGAAGAAGGUCUUCGGAUCGUAAAACCCUGUUGUUAGAGAAGAAAGUGCGUGAGAGUAACUGUUCACGUUUCGACGGUAUCUAACCAGAAAGCCACGGCAAACUACGUGCCAGCAGCCGGGGUAAUACGUAGGUGGCAAGCGUUAUCCGGAUUUAUUGGGCGUAAAGGGAACGGGGGGGGUCUUUUAGGUCUGAUGUGAAAGCCUUCGGCUUAACCGGAGUAGUGCAUUGGAAACUGGGAGACGUGAGUGCAGAAGAGGAGAGUGGAACUCCAUGUGUAGCGGUGAAAUGCGUAGAUAUAUGGAAGAACACCAGUGGCGAAAGCGGCUCUCUGGUCUGUAACUGACGCUGAGGUUCGAAAGCGUGGGUAGCAAACAGGAUUAGAUACCCUGGUAGUC
Molecule: ribosomal RNA, 465 nt
Filed under: uncultured bacterium
Lineage: Bacteria
Description: partial 16S ribosomal RNA
Rfam family: Bacterial small subunit ribosomal RNA
Source: RNAcentral